AGUGCAAGAAUUGGCUUGGCUUAGAGUUGAGGUCACUGCUGGCUGAUGCACUCACAAGUACAGGUAGUGUGCUUACAUGAGGGGCAAGCUUUUCCCUAACACUCCAUUUUGGCCCAGUGAAUGGGGCUUGAUAGUAACCCUUGCUACAAGU
This 151-nucleotide small nucleolar RNA is filed under the name Castor canadensis (American beaver). Lineage: Eukaryota; Metazoa; Chordata; Mammalia; Rodentia; Castoridae. The record is from RNAcentral.